UACGAAGGGGGCGAGCGUUGUUCGGAUUUACUGGGCGUAAAGGGCGCGCAGGCGGCUAUUUUUGUCAGGCGUGAAAUCUCCCAGCUUAACCGAGAAAGUGCGCCGAAUACUGAGGGACUAGAGUACGGGAGAGGAAAGUGGAAUUCCUAGUGUAGCGGUGAAAUGCGUAGAUAUCAAGAGGAACACCGAUGGUGUAGACGGCUUUCUGGACCGUAACUGACGCUGAAACACGAAAGCGUGGGUAGCAAACAGG
Molecule: ribosomal RNA, 253 nt
Filed under: uncultured bacterium
Lineage: Bacteria
Description: partial 16S ribosomal RNA
Rfam family: Bacterial small subunit ribosomal RNA
Source: RNAcentral